AAAAAAUGAAAAAUACUGAACCGCAAACUAAUUAAAAAGCGGAACGGCUAAAAGGGAAAUUAGACCCUUCCGCAAAAACACGCGGAUCCUGAGGUUGGAGCGGGUGGGGUCGCGGGUUGGCCCCUAAAACGACGCCAUUUUGGGUGUCUGGGGGGCCUAAUGAAACGUCGCCGUUUUGCAGUGCUAUUUAAACCCAAAAUUUUAAAAAAAAAAUUCAUUUCCAGCCUUUUCUAAAAAAAACUUCAAAAAACCUCUCAACAUUAUCUCAUUCUCCCCG
RNAcentral lists this long non-coding RNA (277 nucleotides) under Gossypium raimondii (Peruvian cotton). RNAcentral describes it as "long non-coding RNA (GRAI_LNC007915)". The record is from RNAcentral. Lineage: Eukaryota; Viridiplantae; Streptophyta; Magnoliopsida; Malvales; Malvaceae.